GGGGAUGUGGCUCAAGCGGUAAAGCGCUCGCCUGGCAUGCGCGGGGCGCUGGGUUCGAUCCUCAGCACCACA
This 72-nucleotide transfer RNA is filed under the name Marmota monax (woodchuck). RNAcentral's name for it is "tRNA.Ala". Lineage: Eukaryota; Metazoa; Chordata; Mammalia; Rodentia; Sciuridae. The record is from RNAcentral.